This 1403-nucleotide ribosomal RNA is filed under the name uncultured bacterium. RNAcentral's name for it is "bacterial SSU rRNA". It matches the Rfam family "Bacterial small subunit ribosomal RNA". The record is from RNAcentral.
UAGAGUUUGAUCCUGGCUCAGGAUGAACGCUAGCUACAGGCUUAACACAUGCAAGUCGAGGGGAAACGGCAUUUAGUGCUUGCACCGAAUGGACGUCGACCGGCGCACGGGUGAGUAACGCGUAUCCAACCUUCCCACAACUAAGGGAUAACCUGCCGAAAGGCAGACUAAUACCUUAUAUAAUCCUUUGAUGGCAUCAGAUAAGGAUAAAAGAUUUAUCGGUUAUGGAUGGGGAUGCGUCUGAUUAGCUUGUUGGCGGGGUAACGGCCCACCAAGGCAACGAUCAGUAGGGGUUCUGAGAGGAAGGUCCCCCACAUUGGAACUGAGACACGGUCCAAACUCCUACGGGAGGCAGCAGUGAGGAAUAUUGGUCAAUGGACGGAAGUCUGAACCAGCCAAGUAGCGUGCAGGAUGACGGCCCUAUGGGUUGUAAACUGCUUUUGUAUGGGGAUAAAGUCAAUCACGUGUGAUUGUUUGCAGGUACCAUACGAAUAAGGACCGGCUAAUUCCGUGCCAGCAGCCGCGGUAAUACGGAAGGUUCGGGCGUUAUCCGGAUUUAUUGGGUUUAAAGGGAGCGUAGGCUGGAUAUUAAGUGUGUUGUGAAAUGUAGACGCUCAACGUCUGACUUGCAGCGCAUACUGGUUUCCUUGAGUACGCACAACGUUGGCGGAAUUCGUCGUGUAGCGGUGAAAUGCUUAGAUAUGACGAAGAACUCCGAUUGCGAAGGCAGCUGACGGGAGCGCAACUGACGCUUAAGCUCGAAGGUGCGGGUAUCAAACAGGAUUAGAUACCCUGGUAGUCCGCACAGUAAACGAUGGAUGCCCGCUGCUGGUACCUGGUAUCAGCGGCUAAGCGAAAGCAUUAAGCAUCCCACCUGGGGAGUACGCCGGCAACGGUGAAACUCAAAGGAAUUGACGGGGGCCCGCACAAGCGGAGGAACAUGUGGUUUAAUUCGAUGAUACGCGAAGAACCUUACCAAAUCUUGACAUCCUCUGACCCCUCUAGAGAUAGAGUUUUCCCCUUCGGGGGACAGAGUGACAGGUGGUGCAUGGUUGUCGUCAGCUCGUGUCGUGAGAUGUUGGGUUAAGUCCCGCAACGAGCGCAACCCUUAAGCUUAGUUGCCAUCAUUAAGUUGGGCACUCUAAGUUGACUGCCGGUGACAAACCGGAGGAAGGUGGGGAUGACGUCAAAUCAUCAUGCCCCUUAUGAUUUGGGCUACACACGUGCUACAAUGGACAAUACAAAGGGUAGCGAAACCGCGAGGUCAAGCAAAUCCCAUAAAGUUGUUCUCAGUUCGGAUUGUAGUCUGCAACUCGACUAUAUGAAGCUGGAAUCGCUAGUAAUCGUAGAUCAGCAUGCUACGGUGAAUACGUUCCCGGGUCUUGCACUCACCGCCCGUCAAG